Carassius gibelio (silver crucian carp) is the source of this 7986-nucleotide long non-coding RNA. RefSeq lists it as uncharacterized. Lineage: Eukaryota; Metazoa; Chordata; Actinopteri; Cypriniformes; Cyprinidae. The transcript is spliced from 5 exons. The record is from RefSeq and is a predicted model, not a curated record.
UGUGAACCUGCUUAUUUGCAGUGUUUAAUUUGAUGGCAAGUCUUAUUUCAAUGUAUCAUCUUUAAAAUUAUUGGAACUUGGCACAGAGGAUUAACUUGGUUUGGAUGUGGAGAAGCAGUCAGCUGUCACUAGUUUUCAGUUUCAGGAGUGACAGCCAGACCAACAAAUCUGAUGACUAAAAUAUUUGAAGGGUUAUAUACAACUUACCUUUUGGGCAACCACUUGAUCACCUUAUACACAAUAAUUACCUUUCCUUUGUUCAGCAUGUUUCAGCAUUUGCUUUCAGACAUACAUUUUCCUCUUCAAAGUCAAAUAAAGUCAUGUAACAGUGUUUGCACAUGAAGUAAAGUUUUUCACAUAUUAGUUUAAAUGUUUUACAGAAUCAUGAAGAGCUUACUGUAUGUUAUAUUUAGUUCAAUCUCAGGCAUGUGAGAAGAGAUUUUUCUUCUUGACUAAUUUGAGAAGUUUGGCUAGCAGGACCAUUAAAACCUAGAAGAUUUAUUACCAGAGAUUUUCCAAAUGGAAAAUAAUAUCUCUGGCAGAUUUUUUAUUGGACAAUUAAAGCUCAGUGGUCACUGCAAUACUAAUCUUGUUUCAUGGUGAUAUUAUGACUCUCAAAGUUAUAAAAAGCAUGUUCUUAUAUGGAGAAAACAUUAAAUAUAGCACAGUGAGCUCUUCUGUUUGUAUUAGGGGGCAGUUGUGAUCUAAUGGUUAACGAGUCAGACUUGUAACCUAAGGUUGCAGGUUUGAGUCUUGGUACCAGCAGGGAUUGUAGGUGGGUGAUAUGAAUGACUAGUGCUCUCUUCCACCCUCAAUCUCACGACUGAGUUUAGACCCUUGAGCAAGAACCAAACGUCCAUAGACUCCCCAGAUCUCUCAUCUAGGCCACAGUGAAGACUUACCUGACCUAUCAUCACUCCAAAAUCUCUCAUCACGGCUCUUGGCUCUCAGCUUGUUGACCUGGGACUCAGAGAUAUCAGCGCGCUCCUGAGCCUCCUCCAGCUCAUGCUGCACCUUCCUGUACCUGGACAACUUAAGAGCUGGUCGACUGGAUCUGGGGUUAGGCUGGAUUGGUGAAAGGCUGACUUAGAAACCGGAACUGACACCUCGGUGACGAGGGGAUACCAGGUUGCUGGAUCCUGGUAUGGUCAAGCCUUCUGUAACGGAGUCAGAGACGUUUGGAUCCAUUUGCAGUAUUUUAAUAAGAGAAUGGUCAAACAGGCAGUAAUCAGAGCACAGCGUCAAGUAUUUCAAGAAAUAUCCAGAAUCAAUAUCAUUACCAGGCAGGACAGGCGGCAAAGAAUCACAGGUGGUAACACAAUCCAAAAUCAAACACAGAAAGAACAAACACUAGGGAAACCCUCAGAAAUGCUAGACAGGGCUAAACAAAACUUAGCAAUCAUUGCGAGUCCAAACACAGUUUAUAUAGGAGGUGGGAAUGGGGAACACCUGGUGGUGAUUAGCCCUAAGCACAGGAUUAAGGGAAAUGGAGUUGGGAAUGGAAAUGGACAUCAUAUGCAAGAGUCCUGAGUGGAGUACCCUCUACAGGAGUUCAUGGGCACUACAGCUGAUGAUCGUGACAUAUAUAUUCAAUUCAAGAUUAUUUGUAUAGCAUUUUUCACAAUGUUAAUCUUUGCAAAGCAGCUUUAAAGAAAAUUACAAUUUCCACAUAAUAUUUAGUAAUAGCAUAUCAGUGUUGACUGAUGAUGUCCAUAUGGCAGAAAUGUACAGUGAAAAUCAAGCAGUUAGUUAAUGAUGUAUUCAAACAGACAGUGAACAAUAUUUGUUGCUAUUUCUAUGUCUUUACUACUCUGUCAUAUGAAACUGCAUUAUUUGUAAAUGAAUUAGGUAAAUGUCCAAUGAAAUUGUAUCUUUUUAAUCAAUAUUUGUUGCUUUGGUGUACCUUCAGAAAGGCACUAUAUAAAUUAAACAUAUUAUUGUUAUCAAUGAUUAUAUGUGGCGAUCAAACGUACAGCAAAUUUUGGUAAUUUGGUGUGUUGUCUAAGGUUUGUGUGUGUGUAUAUAUAUAUCUAUUCAAAUAUAUGUCGUAAGUAAAAAAGAGACUUGACUUGGUAACAGAUGCUUCCAGUGCAGAAGAAAGUACAGAGAUGCAAACCUGACAGUGCAGACACACACAGGAAUUACACAUUACAUUUACAUUUUAUCAUUUAGCAGAUGCUUUUAUCCAAAGCGACUUACAAAUGAGAACAAUAGAAGCAGUCAGGUCAACAAGAGAACAACAACAAUAUACAAGUGCCAUGACAAGUCUCAGUUAGUCUAGUAUAGAACGCAUAGCCAGGUUUUUUUUAUUUUAUUUUUUUAUUUUUUUAUUAAAUUAAAUGAAAAAGACAAGAAAAGGAAAAGUGCUGGUGUUAGUUGGUUAAGUGCAGGCAAAAAAAAUGAGUCUUUAGAUGUUUCUUGAAAAUGAGUAAAGACUCGUAAUGAGUAAAGCUGUACGAAUUGAGAUUGGGAGGUCAUUCCACCAGCUGGGCACAGUCCAGGAAAAGGUCCGUGAGAGUGAUUUUGAACUUCUUUGGGAUGGUACCACAAGGCGUCGUUCACUUGCAGAGCACAAACUUCUGGAGGGCACAUAAGAUUUAACCAGUGGGUUUAGGUAAGUUGGUGCCGUGCCAGUGGUUGUCUUGUAGGCAAGCAUCAGUACCUUGAAUUUGAUGCGAGCGGCUACUGGUAGCCAGUGUAACCUGAUGAGGAGAGGAGUAACAUGAGCUUUUUUUGGCUCAUUGAAGACAACCCUCGCUGCUGCAUUCUGGAUCAAUUGCAGAGGCUUGACAGUACAUGCAGGAAGGCCUGCCAGGAGAGCAUUACAAUAGUCCAGUCUGGAGAGAACAAGAGCUUGGACAAGAAGUUGGGUUGCUUGCUCUGACAGGAAGGGUCUAAUCUUCCUAAUGUUGUAUAAGGCAAACCUGCAGGACCGGGUCGUUGUAGCAAUGUGGUCAGUGAAGCUUAACUGAAGAUCCAUCACAACUCCUAGGUUUCUGGCUGUCCUCGAAGGAGGUAUGGUUGACGAGCCCAGCUGUAUAGAGAAGUUGUGAUGAAGCAAUGGGUUAGCUGGAAUCACCAGGAGUUCAGUCUUUGUAAGGUUAAGCUGAAGUUGAUGGUCAUUCAUCCAGCUAGAAAUGUCACUCAGACAGGCUGAAAUGCGAGCAGCUACUGUCAGGUCAACUGGCUGGAAUGAGAAGUAGAGUUGGGUGUAAUCAGCGUAGCAGUGAUAAGAAAAGCCAUGCUUCUGAAUGAAAGAUCCUAAAUCAAUCAAUCAAUCACCUUUAUUUAUAUAGUGCUUUAAACAAAAUACAUUGCGCCAAAGCACUGAACAACAUUCAUUUGGAAAACAGUGUCUCAAAAAUGCAAAAUGAUAGUUAAAGGCAGUUCAUCAUUGAAUUCAGUUAUGUAAUCUCUGUUCAGUUGAAAUAGUGUCUGUUUUAAUUUGCAAUCAAGUCAAUGAUAUCGCUGUAGAUGAAGUGACCCCAACUAAGCAAGCCAGAGGCGACAGCGGCAAGGAACCGAAACUCCAUCGGUGACAGAAUGGAGAAAAAAACCUUGGGAGAAACCAGGCUCAGUUGGGGGGCCAGUUCUCCUCUGACCAGACGAAACCAGUAGUUCAAUUCCAGGCUGCAGCAAAGUCAGAUUGUGCAGAAGAAUCAUCUGUUUCCUGUGGUCUUGUCCUGGUGCUCCUCUGAGACAAGGUCUUUACAGGGGAUCUGUAUCUGGGGCUCUAGUUGUCCUGGUCUCCGCUGUCUUUCAGGGCAGUAGAGGUCCUUUCUAGGUGCUGAUCCACCAUCUGGUCUGGAUACGUACUGGAUCCGGGUGACUGCAGUGACCCUCUGAUCUGGACACAGACUGGAUCUGGUGGCCACGGUGACCUCGGAACAAGAGAGAAACAGACAAAUAUUAGCGUAGAUGCCAUUCUUCUAAUGAUGUAGAAAGUACGGUGUUAUGUGAAGUGUUCCGGUUCCAGUUUACCUAAUUAAUGCAGCCUAAAAAUCCUUUAACGGAUUUGGAUAUUAAAAGCAUAUUAGUAUGUUAUGUGUAUGCCAGGUUAAAGAGAUGGGUCUUUAAUCUAGAUUUAAACUGCAAGAGUGUGUCUGCCUCCCGAACAAUGUUAGGUAGGUUAUUCCAGAGUUUAGGCGCCAAAUAGGAAAAGGAUCUGCCGCCUGCAGUUGAUUUUGAUAUUCUAGGUAUUAUCAAAUUGCCUGAGUUUUGAGAACGUAGCGGACGUAGAGGAGUAUAAUGUAAAAGGAGCUCAUUCAAAUACUGAGGUGCUAAACCAUUCAGGGCUUUAUAAGUAAUAAGCAAUAUUUUAAAAUCUAUACGAUGUUUGAUAGGGAGCCAGUGCAGUGUGGACAGGACCGGGCUAAUAUGGUCAUACUUCCUGGUUCUAGUAAGAACUCUUGCUGCUGCAUUUUGGACUAGCUGUAGUUUGUUUACCAAGCGUGCAGAACAACCACCCAAUAAAGCAUUACAAUAGUCUAACCUUGAAGUCAUAAAUGCAUGGAUUAACAUUUCUGCAUUUGACAUUGAGAGCAUAGGCCGUAGUUUAGAUAUAUUUUUGAGAUGGAAAAAUGCAGUUUUACAAAUGCUAGAAACAUGGCUUUCUAAGGAAAGAUUGCGAUCAAGUAGCACACCUAGGUUCCUAACUGAUGACGAAGAAUUAACAGAGCAACCAUCAAGUCUUAGACAGUGUUCUAGGUUAUUACAAUUAGAGUUUUUAGGCCCUAUGAUAAACACCUCUGUUUUUUCUGAAUUUAGCAGUAAGAAAUUACUCGUCAUCCAAUUUUUUAUAUCCACUAUGCAUUCCAUUAGUUUUUCAAAUUGGUGUGUUUCACCGGGCUGCGAGGAAAUAUAGAGCUGCGUAUCAUCAGCAUAACAGUGAAAGCUAACACCAUGUUUCCUGAUGAUAUCUCCCAAGGGUAACAUAUAAAGCGUGAAGAGUAGCGGCCCUAGAACUGAGCCUUGAGGUACUCCAUACUGCACUUGUGAUCGAUAUGAUACAUCUUCAUUCACUGCUACGAACUGAUGGCGGUCACAUAAGUACGAUUUAAACCAUGCUAAUGCACUUCCACUGAUGCCAACAAAGUGUUCAAGUCUAUGCAAAAGAAUGUUGUGGUCAAUUGUGUCAAACGCAGCACUAAGAUCCAAUAAAACUAAUAGAGAGAUACACCCACGAUCAGAUGAUAAGAGCAGAUCAUUUGUAACUCUAAGGAGAGCAGUUUCAGUACUAUGAUACGGUCUAAAUCCUGACUGGAAAUCCUCACAUAUACCAUUUUUCUCUAAGAAGGAAUAUAAUUGUGAGGAUACCACCUUUUCUAGUAUCUUGGACAGAAAAGGGAGAUUCGAGAUUGGUCUAUAAUUAACUAGUUCUCUGGGGUCAAGUUGUGGCUUUUUUAUGAGAGGCUUAAUAACAGCCAGUUUGAAGGUUUUGGGGACAUAUCCUAAUGACAAUGAGGAAUUAAUAAUAGUCAGAAGAGGACCUAUGACUUCUGGAAGCACCUCUUUUAAGAGCUUAGAUGGUAUAGGGUCUAACAUACAUGUUGUAAGUUUAGAUGAUUUAACAAGUUUAUACAAUUCUUCCUCUCCUAUAGUAGAGAAUGAGUGGAACUGUUCCUCAGGGGGUCUAUAGUGCACUGUCUGAUGCAAAACUGUAGCUGACGGCUGAAUGGUUGCAAUUUUAUCUCUAAUAGUAUCGAUUUUAGAAGUAAAGUAGUUCAUAAAGUCAUUACUGCUGUGGUGUUGGGAAAUGUCAACACUUGUUGAGGCUUUAUUUUUCGUUAAUUUAGCCACUGUAUUGAAUAAAUACCUGGGGUUAUGUUUGUUUUCUUCUAAAAGAGAAGAAAAGUAAUCAGAUCUAGCAGUUUUUAAUGCUUUUCUGUAGGAUAUGCUACUUUCCCGCCAAGCAAUACGAAAUACCUCUAGUUUUGUUUUCCUCCAGCUGUGCUCCAUUUUUCGGGCUGCUCUCUUUAGGGUGCGAGUAUGCUCAUUAUACCAUGGUGUCAAACUGUUUUCCUUAACCUUUCUUAAGCGUAAAGGAGCAACUGUAUUUAAAGUGCUACAAAAGAGAGAGUCCAUAGUUUCUGUUACAUCAUCAACUUGUUCUGAGGUUUUGGAUAUGCUAAGGAAUUCGGAUACAUCAGGAAGAUAACUUAAAAAGCAGUCUUUUGUGGUAGAAGUGAUGGUUCUUCGAUACUUGUAACAAGAAGUAGAAUUUACAAUUUUGGCUAUAUGAAGUUUACACAGAACUAAAUAAUGAUCUGAAGAUGUAUCAUAUCGAUCACAAGUGCAGUAUGGAGUACCUCAAGGCUCAGUUCUAGGGCCGCUACUCUUCACACUUUAUAUGUUACCCUUGGGAGAUAUCAUCAGGAAACAUGGUGUUAGCUUUCACUGUUAUGCUGAUGAUACGCAGCUCUAUAUUUCCUCGCAGCCCGGUGAAACACACCAAUUUGAAAAACUAAUGGAAUGCAUAGUCGAUAUAAAAAAUUGGAUGACGAGUAAUUUCUUACUGCUAAAUUCAGAAAAAACAGAGGUGUUAAUCAUAGGGCCUAGAAACUCUACUUGUAAUAACCUAGAACACUGUCUAAGACUUGAUGGUUGCUCUGUCAAUUCUUCGUCAUCAGUUAGGAACCUAGGUGUGCUACUUGAUCGCAAUCUUUCCUUAGAAAGCCACGUUUCUAGCAUUUGUAAAACUGCAUUUUUCCAUCUCAAAAAUAUAUCUAAAUUACGGCCUAUGCUCUCAAUGUCAAAUGCAGAAAUGUUAAUCCAUGCAUUUAUGACUUCAAGGUUAGACUACUGUAAUGCUUUAUUGGGUGGUUGUUCUGCACGCUUGGUAAACAAACUACAGCUAGUCCAAAAUGCAGCAGCAAGAGUUCUUACUAGAACCAGGAAGUAUGACCAUAUUAGCCCGGUCCUGUCCACACUGCACUGGCUCCCUAUCAAACAUCGUAUAGAUUUUAAAAUAUUGCUUAUUACUUAUAAAGCCCUGAAUGGUUUAGCACCUCAGUAUUUGAAUGAGCUCCUUUUACAUUAUACUCCUCUACGUCCGCUACGUUCUCAAAACUCAGGCAAUUUGAUAAUACCUAGAAUAUCAAAAUCAACUGCGGGCGGCAGAUCCUUUUCCUAUUUGGCGCCUAAACUCUGGAAUAACCUACCUAACAUUGUUCGGGAGGCAGACACACUCUUGCAGUUUAAAUCUAGAUUAAAGACCCAUCUCUUUAACCUGGCAUACACAUAACAUACUAAUAUGCUUUUAAUAUCCAAAUCCGUUAAAGGAUUUUUAGGCUGCAUUAAUUAGGUAAACUGGAACCGGAACACUUCACAUAACACCGUACUUUCUACAUCAUUAGAAGAAUGGCAUCUACGCUAAUAUUUGUCUGUUUCUCUCUUGUUCCGAGGUCACCGUGGCCACCAGAUCCAGUCUGUAUCCAGAUCAGAGGGUCACUGCAGUCACCCGGAUCCAGUACGUAUCCAGACCAGAUGGUGGAUCAGCACCUAGAAAGGACCUCUACUGCCCUGAAAGACAGCGGAGACCAGGACAACUAGAGCCCCAGAUACAGAUCACCUGUAAAUACCUUGUCUCAGAGGACCACCAGGACAAGACCACAUUCCAGACUGGAAUUGAACUACUGGUUUUGUCUGGUCAGAGGAGAAUUGGCCCCCCAACUGAGCCUGGUUUCUCCCAAGGUUUUUUUCUCCAUUCUGUCAACGAUGGAGUUUCGGUUCCUUGCCGCUGUCGCCUCUGGCUUGCUUAGUUGGGGUCACUUCAUCUACAGCGAUAUCAUUGACUUGAUUGCAAAUAAAUGCACAGACACUAUUUAAACUGAACAGAGAUGACAUAACUGAAUUCAAUGAUGAACUGCCUUUAACUAUAAUUUUGCAUUAUUGAGACACUGUUUUCCUAAUGAAUGUUGUUCAGUGCUUUGAUGCAGUGUAUUUUGUUUAAAGCGCUAUAUAAAUAAAGGUGAUUGAUUGAUUGAA